This 460-nucleotide ribosomal RNA is filed under the name uncultured bacterium. Its description in RNAcentral is "partial 16S ribosomal RNA". It matches the Rfam family "Bacterial small subunit ribosomal RNA", at positions 338 to 795 of the family's 1533-position model. The record is from RNAcentral.
CCUACGGGAGGCAGCAGUGAGGAAUAUUGGUCAAUGGGCGGAAGCCUGAACCAGCCAAGUCGCGUGAGGGAUUAAGGCCCUGCGGGUCGUAAACCUCUUUUGCCGGGGAGCAGUGGUCCGGACGCGUCCGGACCGGGAGAGUACCCGGAGAAAAAGCAUCGGCUAACUCCGUGCCAGCAGCCGCGGUAAUACGGAGGAUGCGAGCGUUAUCCGGAUUUAUUGGGUUGAAAGGGUGCGUAGGCGGGCAUUUAAGCCGGCGGUAAAAUGGCGGGGCUCAACCCCGGCCUGCCGUGGGAACUGGGUGACUUGAGUGGGCGAGAAGUAUGCGGAAUGCGUGGUGUAGCGGUGAAAUGCAUAGAUAUCACGCAGAACCCCGAUUGCGAAGGCAGCAUACCGGCGCCCUACUGACGCUGAGGCACGAAAGUGCGGGUAUCGAACAGGAUUAGAUACCCGAGUAGUC